This 170-nucleotide ribosomal RNA is filed under the name uncultured bacterium. Its description in RNAcentral is "partial 16S ribosomal RNA". It matches the Rfam family "Bacterial small subunit ribosomal RNA", at positions 337 to 524 of the family's 1533-position model. The record is from RNAcentral.
UCCUACGGGAGGCAGCAGUGGGGGAUAUUGCACAAUGGGGGAAACCCUGAUGCAGCGACGCCGCGUGAGUGAAGAAGUAUUUCGGUAUGUAAAGCUCUAUCAGCAGGGAAGAAAAUGACGGUACCUGACUAAGAAGCCCCGGCUAACUACGUGCCAGCAGCCGCGGUAAU